Molecule: unclassified non-coding RNA, 208 nt
Filed under: Hevea brasiliensis (rubber tree)
Lineage: Eukaryota; Viridiplantae; Streptophyta; Magnoliopsida; Malpighiales; Euphorbiaceae
Source: RNAcentral
GGCUCGACCGGGAGAGCAUGGGAGUCGGAGAGAAAGCCGGCGGUCCUGUAGAUGAUGCUAAUGCUCAGCUCAGUUAGAGGGUAUGAAACUAUUUUCUGUUUAAUUUUGCAGUCUCUGUGAAUUUUGGGGUACCUAGCUUAUAUAUUUAGCUUUGUAAGCCUCAGCUGCAACAAUCUCUGGUUUUUGGAUACUGUGGAUGAAGGGAAAG